RNAcentral lists this ribosomal RNA (208 nucleotides) under uncultured bacterium. Its description in RNAcentral is "partial 16S ribosomal RNA". It matches the Rfam family "Bacterial small subunit ribosomal RNA", at positions 568 to 774 of the family's 1533-position model. The record is from RNAcentral.
CGCGUAGGCGGUUUGUUUAGUUAGGCGUGAAAUUCCUGGGCUUAACCCUGGGGACUGCGCUUAAUACAGGCAGACUUGAGUUCGGAAGAGGGUCGUGGAAUUCCCAGUGUAGAGGUGAAAUUCGUAGAUAUUGGGAAGAACACCGGUGGCGAAGGCGGCGACCUGGUCCGAUACUGACGCUGAGGCGCGAAAGCGUGGGGAGCAAACA